UACGGGGGGUGCGAGCGUUGUCCGGAAUCACUGGGCGUAAAGGGCGCGUAGGUGGUUUGAUAAGGGUGUGGUGAAAGUCCGGGGCUCAACCCCGGAUCUGCCGUGCCGACUGUCAAACUCGAGGGCUGUAGAGGCAGACGGAAUUCCGGGUGUAGCGGUGGAAUGCGUAGAUAUCUGGAGGAACAUCGGUGGCGAAGGCGGCAUCCUGGACCGGUAUUGACGCUGAGGCGCGAAAGCCAGGGGAGCAAACGGG
RNAcentral lists this ribosomal RNA (253 nucleotides) under uncultured bacterium. RNAcentral describes it as "partial 16S ribosomal RNA". It matches the Rfam family "Bacterial small subunit ribosomal RNA", at positions 524 to 776 of the family's 1533-position model. The record is from RNAcentral.